UUCAUUGAAAUAUUUCUAAUGUUAUGUAAUUACUGUGUACAUAUGAUAUUAAACUCCAAUUAAAUAUUUAUUAUUAGCACAGUUGAUGGUUCACAUAUUCAUAUUUAGCACAUAGUUAUCUGCUGUAACUUAUCAAUGGUCACUAGUUGAUGAAUUUAGAUUGUCCAUUCCUGAUUGAUAAGUUAGCACAGGGGCCUGGUUCCUCGAAUGACACAUGUAUAUAGAUCUCCUAAUGCAAAGUUGGCCUCAAUGCUUUAUGUAAGUUCCUUCUGUCUGAGUUGGUGACUUAUUUGCAUUUUGUUCACUGAAACCUGUCUCUUGACUACUGUUGAACCAGAUGUGAUUUCUGAACCUACAGAUCUCAGCCGAAGGAUGACAUAUUGGCAGGUAUUACACCACAGUCUCUCUGACCAACCCCAUCCCCAUUGCUUUGAGUUCUUCCGGGGGCCCGAGUGGUUUAUCUGUCUCAGCAACUUAUCACUAGCCCUCCAACUCUGGGUCGCGAGUUCGAAACCCAUAUGGGGCAGUUGCCUGGUACUGACUGUAGACCGAUGGUUUUUCUCCGGGUAUUUCGGCUUUCCUCCACCUCGUAACCCAGGCUAAACAAGAAUCAAAUUUCAGAUAUCCUGUCCACACUUGAUGCUCCAGAAUAGCAUUGUUCCAUAGUCUCUUGGCAUCAAUUGGCUGAUUAACCUGUAUGUGUAGUUGUCAGGAUCUGCAUGUUACAGUGGUCUCCAUGCAGGUGUUGAUGAUGAUCUGAGCAGGCUUGGGUCUCAGGAUUUUUAUAUUGCUUGGAAUCCAAGCAGCUUUAAAUAUGCUCAUUUCACCUUUGUUAUCAAUCUUGAAAAUAAUUAUUUUCAGCAGUUAAAUCUUUAUAACUCAAAAGGUGUGCCAAAUACUAUAUGAAAUAAUUCUGUUAAAAAAAAACUUUGCUGUCUGUGAAUGUUUAUAUUUGUAUUUUCAGGUAAAAUCAGUCAUACUGCACUCUCAUAUCAAGGGGAAUAAAUCUGUAUUAAUUGAGAUCAUGGACCCCAUAUGAUAGCCACAGACUUGACACAACUGCAGCAUAAAAAGGUCAGCAUGCGAGCAAAACUGGAGGGGUACAAAUGUAAACACCUGGAGCAUGGUCAUAGACUUCUACAGAUUGAGUGUCAGAUAGAGCUUAUGAUAUAUAUUCUGGAACGACCUGACCAAGGACCAGCUUGGAGAAUUCCAGCUCAUGGACACGAAAAGUUUCAUAAAACAGAACAUUAAUUCUACCACAGUUGCAGUAACAGGCUGAGGACGCCUCCGCUCCCCAAAGACUGGGUUCACCAAGAACAACCUAAACAAAACUUGGACACAGCAAAAUUCAUAAAACAGACAUUUUACCACAGCUGCUGUCUGUCACAGAUCAUGGAUGAAGACAUCUGCCCAAAGACUGGGUUCACUUAAUUAGGAACAACACAAACAAUACUUGGAUAACACCCCUUCAGGCUACUGUGUCCAGUCUACAUAUGUUUGCAUCUUCAAGAGGAGCCUGAACGACAAUAUGGCAAAAAGCUAGCAAGUCCAAAAGUCAAAGACAAAAUGAAGUGAACUGAAAAGAUACUAAUUAUUAUAACGACCGAUAUAUAAAAAACUGAUGUAAAGAAGUAAUAGCUGACUUGUCAAAUUAAUGUUGAUGAUAUAGAAAUAUAAUAAUUUGUCUUGAAGACUUGGAAGUGUGUUUGAAUAUAUCAAUGAAACAUUUAAUUCUGUGACCAUCAUAUUCAUUUGAUUAUGUUAGCAAACGUUUUGACCAUUUGUUUUAAUAUCAAAUUUUUUAAUUUUUGUAUAGAGUUCAGAAAACUUCUACUACAAUCUAAAAUCUUUGAAGCUGAGGUUUAAUAAUUAAUAACUUUGGGUACAUAUAAUCAUUAUAUGAAGCUGUGUUGCCUUGAAAAGAAUCAUGAUUCAGCUAUUUUUGCAGUUUCUUUCAGUAUUUGAUUCUUGUUGAUCUAGUCUGUAGAUCUAGACCUUCUUUUUUGAUCUGUCUAAUUUUCUAUCAAACUUUGUACACUUUAUUAUGACAUGUAAUUGCAUAUUUUAUUGGCAUAUUGAUUGAGAUGUGAAUGGAAGUGUAAUUAUUUUCAUAGUUUUUGCUUUUUAGCAUCCAACAAGUGUGUGUUCGAUUCAUAAUAAAUUAUUUUCAAUUGAAAUAUUGUCUUUCUAUGUAUGUUAAAUUUCAAGUUGAAGUUCUCAAAUAAUCUUUCUCCAGUCAUGAUUCUGUAUGCUGCUGGGAUGCAAUGGAGGCAUCAUUGUCCAAUAAUUAGAUGGUACAGAGGUGAUGGCUGGCUAAGGUUGCAGCAUACUGGCAGGAUGGUCAAUAAGGUACUAUUGGCCAUGCUGCUGGUUGAGGUUGCAGCAUACUGGCAGCAUGGUCACUAGCACCACUGGCCAGCCUGCAGCAUACUGGCAGAAUGGUCACUGCAGCAUACUGGCAUCAUAAUUUAAAUAUUUGAAACAUGCUGCCAGCAUUCUGCUCCCCUUAUAAUUAUGAGGGCAAACUUUUGCAGCAUGGUGGCAGCAUGGGCUGUGCAUGCUACCAGCAGCAUGCUGCAUUUUCAUGCUGCUCGUAUGCUGCAAAUCCGUAAGGGGAGGGUCGCGGAUUCGAUCCCGGCUGGAACUUCUUCUCUUAUAUGAAAAUUUAUAAUAAUUUUUGGUGGAGUGUUUACUUGUGAACCCCUUACAGCUUAUUGUUUUAUAUAAAAUUGAUGAUUUUACAAAAAUGAAGAUUGGGUCCUUGUAGGCAGGUCCUUAUUUGCAGAUAAAUAUGUGUACAUGAAUGAAAAGUAAUAAUAACUAAAUUAUUUUUUUCAUAAAGUUUUCUGAGAAUCUUUUCACAGUCAAUGUUUAAGUAAACAAAGCAAGAUUAUUAUCCAGUGUCUCUGUUACAUCUUGAAAAAAAAUUAUAAUCAGAAAAUCUUUUGAAAUGUAUCUUCCCCUUAAGAUUUGCAAGUUAUCUCAUUAUUCCCCAAUGUCUGCACCAAGAAAAAUGGAUAAAAAUGCACUUUUUAAAGUUGGACACCACAUCAUUUUAGAAUUUGUAUUGCUUGUUUUGUCUUGUCUAGGUGAAGGAUCUGUACGAGAGGAUAUUUCCUGAUAGUCUGCCAUUUUAUACACCUAGUAGACAAGUAACCAUCUCAAACAGUUUAAUACAGGCAGGACACUCAUUUCUCUGCUGUGUAGAGUAUGUGUCAAGGGAGACAACUCGGUCACUGUACCUCCUUCACCACCUACUGGAGCCUAUGGAGCAGUGAUGAAGUGUGUCCAGAUGAACUGGAUGCCCAUUCUGAAAUGCCUGGGGCUGGUCCCAAGAGUUACCCUUGCAUUUUGUGCAAUAAAAGGACCAAUCUUGGGGAUCGGCAACCUUUUUCUUCAAAUAGGAAGUACUGCUGUAUACAGAUAAUGAUGUACACUAUGUACAAGUGAUAUGAGAAAUAGUUAAAUUAGACAUUAUGUAUUAAAUAAUGUAAUUUCCACAGGUUUCCUUGUCAUGAUAUUGCUAAUGUUAGCUCAAAAUGCAUAUACCAGAUAGUUUAAAUAUGGUUUAAACACCAGAUUAAGGAGCAGUGUGUGUGUGUUCAUGUAUGUUAGUGCUUGGUGCACAAGAGUAAAUCAAUUUGAUACAGUGUAUUUGUUUAAUUAAGACUACAAACACGAUGUAAAACUGGUUUUAACUUGGUAUACAUGUACAAGCCAGAUGUGUAAGUAGUAAUUGGAGAGUCUAACAAUUGAGAAUGAGUACCGUAAAGAUGACAGGAAUUCUGAUAUCUUUUUAUUAUAACACUAAAGCUUGAUACUGUCACUACCUAUCAAAGUAUUUGUGAAGGAGUCUAUUAUUAUAGUAUGGGUGAAUAUAAAGGACUCUAUUGUUAUAGUAUGGGUGAAUGUGAAGGACUCUAUUGUUAUAGUAUGGGUGAAUAUAAAGGACUCUAUUGUUAUAGUA
Long non-coding RNA from Pecten maximus, 3970 nucleotides. RefSeq lists it as uncharacterized. The record is from RefSeq and is a predicted model, not a curated record. Lineage: Eukaryota; Metazoa; Mollusca; Bivalvia; Pectinida; Pectinidae. The transcript is spliced from 5 exons.